This 497-nucleotide ribosomal RNA is filed under the name uncultured bacterium. RNAcentral's name for it is "partial 16S ribosomal RNA". It matches the Rfam family "Bacterial small subunit ribosomal RNA", at positions 28 to 507 of the family's 1533-position model. The record is from RNAcentral.
GAUGAACGCUGGCGGCGUGCCUAAUACAUGCAAGUCGAGCGAACAGAUGAGGAGCUUGCUCCUCUGACGUUAGCGGCGGACGGGUGAGUAACACGUGGAUAACCUACCUAUAAGACUGGGAUAACUUCGGGAAACCGGAGCUAAUACCGGAUAAUAUAUUGAACCGCAUGGUUCAAUAGUGAAAGACGGUUUUGCUGUCACUUAUAGAUGGAUCCGCGCCGCAUUAGUUAGUUGGUAAGGUAACGGCUUACCAAGGCAACGAUGCGUAGCCGACCUGAGAGGGUGAUCGGCCACACUGGAACUGAGACACGGUCCAGACUCCUACGGGAGGCAGCAGUAGGGAAUCUUCCGCAAUGGGCGAAAGCUUGACGGAGCAACGCCGCGUGAGUGAUGAAGGUCUUCGGAUCGUAAAACUCUGUUAUUAGGGAAGAACAAAUGUGUAAGUAACUAUGCACGUCUUGACGGUACCUAAUCAGAAAGCCACGGCUAACUACGUG